Molecule: ribosomal RNA, 250 nt
Filed under: uncultured prokaryote
Description: partial 16S ribosomal RNA
Rfam family: Bacterial small subunit ribosomal RNA
Source: RNAcentral
GACGUAGGUGGCAAGCGUUACUCGGAAUUACUAGGCGUAAAGCGCGCGUAGGCGGAAUUUUAAGUCUGUUGUGUAAUCUCUGGGCUCAACCCAGAAACUGCAACAGAAACUGAAUUUCUUGAGUGAGGCAGAGGAAGACGGAAUUCCUGGUGUAGCAGUGAAAUGCGUAGAUAUCAGGAGGAACACCGGUGGCGAAGGCGGUCUUCUGGGCCUUUACUGACGCUCAAGCACGAAAGCUAGGGGAGCAAAC